GGGGUUGUGGCUCAGUGGUGGAGCACUCGCCUAGGGUGUGUGAGGCCCUGGGUUUAAUCCUCAGUACCACA
This 71-nucleotide transfer RNA is filed under the name Marmota monax (woodchuck). Its description in RNAcentral is "tRNA.Pro". Lineage: Eukaryota; Metazoa; Chordata; Mammalia; Rodentia; Sciuridae. The record is from RNAcentral.